RNAcentral lists this ribosomal RNA (382 nucleotides) under Mytilus galloprovincialis (Mediterranean mussel). RNAcentral's name for it is "partial 16S ribosomal RNA". It matches the Rfam family "Bacterial large subunit ribosomal RNA", at positions 1937 to 2566 of the family's 2925-position model. Lineage: Eukaryota; Metazoa; Mollusca; Bivalvia; Mytilida; Mytilidae. The record is from RNAcentral.
UAACGUGAGCGUCCUAAGGUAGCGCGAUAAUUUGCUUUUCAAUUGAAGGAUGGUAUGAAAGGGUUAACGAAGAAGGUGCUGUGUCUAAAAAUUCAAUUUAAACUAACUUUAAGGUGAAGAGGCCUUUAUGUAAAAGAAGGACGACAAGACCCUAUGAAGCUUUAUCUUAAUAGGAGCUCUCAGGCUCUUAUACGAUUUUGAUGGGAGAUCAGUAGAAAGAAGUCUUCUACUAUCGUAUUAAUCUUACUAGUAUUUCCUAACUUUAUAUGUGUGGCUAGCUACUCUAGGGAUAACAGCGCAAUUUCUCCCGAAAGAUGGUAUUGGAGGGGAAGAUUGCGACCUCGAUGUUGGCUUUAGAUAUCCUAGAGGCGUAGAAGCUUCU